This 426-nucleotide ribosomal RNA is filed under the name uncultured bacterium. RNAcentral describes it as "bacterial SSU rRNA". It matches the Rfam family "Bacterial small subunit ribosomal RNA", at positions 354 to 777 of the family's 1533-position model. The record is from RNAcentral.
GUGAGGAAUAUUGGUCAAUGGACGGAAGUCUGAACCAGCCAAGUCGCGUGAAGGAAGACAGUCGGUAAGAUCGUAAACUUCUUUUAUCAGGGAGUAACCGCCGCUACGCGUAGCGGUCUGCAAGUACCUGAAGAAAAAGCAUCGGCUAACUCCGUGCCAGCAGCCGCGGUAAUACGGAGGAUGCGAGCGUUAUCCGGAUUUAUUGGGUUUAAAGGGUGCGUAGGCGGGAUGCCAAGUCAGCGGUGAAAACUCCGGGCUCAACCCGGACCCCGCCGUUGAAACUGGUAACCUAGAGAGUAUUGGAAGUAAGCGGAAUGCGUGGUGUAGCGGUGAAAUGCAUAGAUAUCACGCAGAACCCCGAUUGCGAAGGCAGCUUACUACACUACCGCUGACGCUGAAGCACGAAAGCGUGGGUAUCAAACAGGA